This 3617-nucleotide long non-coding RNA is filed under the name Capra hircus (goat). RNAcentral describes it as "lncRNA (ENSCHIG00010006484.1)". The record is from RNAcentral. Lineage: Eukaryota; Metazoa; Chordata; Mammalia; Artiodactyla; Bovidae.
CCGGGCACUUGACGAGGCCAGGCGGCCUUCCCAGUGCAGGCCUCCGGGGCCUGCCCAUUCCCUCACCCUCGCUCCCCCUGCCCUUUCUUCUGUUCGUUCUCCUUUCGGAAGGCGCGGUGCGCAGUGGAGCGGAGGCACAGCCGGGGCUGGAGAGGCCCGAGCAAACACACCACUUACUUUGUGUACAGAGGGUUCUUGUGAAAAGCCUGAAGAGUCCUCACCAAACACUCACCAACUUCUCCCACGUGCCAUUUGUUGACUAAGUGCGGCUGUUUUUCCAGGCGCCCGAGAGGAGGGGACGCAAGGGGGAGAUAAAAAGGGGGGUGGAGGCCUGGAGUGGAGGGAAACUACCAAUGCUGGGAGAGUGUGUGUCUGUGUGUGUGUGCGCGCGCGCGUUCUCGCUCGCGAGCGAUGUCGGUGUGUCAGCGUGUAUCCGUGUGUGCCACCAGUUAUCUUCUGUGGUGUGUGUCUUUCGCACGACGGUUCCCUCUCCUGGGUCUGCUCAGUCCACGGAGGCAAUUCCCCUUCAGCUGUUGCCAGAAAACCGGGGAGGAAAGUACCCACCCCCCGCCCUCACCCCUUGGCGUCGGAGGAGGACUUUUCNCUGGCCUGUUCCCGCAGGGGCUGCCCGGGUCAUCCCACCCGGUAGGGGGAGGCUGUCUUUGCCGAAGGAGUCGCGCUGGGGGAUCGCCGCUCGCCUAAGAGUGCCCGGAGUCUCUGGCCCUGAGAAAGUGGGUUCCCAGCCUCGUGGAGCUGACGAAACGGGUCCAACGAGCACCAAACGCAAAGGCGACCAUCCUGCCGCCCAGCCAGGGAAGCCUUCUCCCCUCGGGGCCUCUCUCUUUUCUCCAGCAACCUGCGAGUUUCCAGCUCACUCGGCAGCCUCGCCGAGCCCAGAGCGCCGGGAAGCGGAGGAGAGCAGAAGCCGGACGGGUGGCGCCUCCAGGCUGCAGCCACGCUAGGCUGGGGAAAGCCACGGUGCCCUCGCCCUUCCUCGCCUCUUGCCAAAUGGCAAGUGUGUCUCAGCACCCUCUGGGUUCGAUUCUCUUCCAUUCAUAUUAGGCGGCAAGCGUCUCUUUCUCACACCUCCCCCUCCAAUACUCAGAAAAAAAUAAAAUAAAAUCCCAACUGUGUCUUUCAGCAAAGAGAUCCCUGCUGCCCCGCAGGUCGGACUCUCAAGCCUUUGCCUUCUGGACCCUACAUGCUGUUGUCUAAAUAGGGACCAGGUUUAAAACUCCUGAUAUGCGAGACACAUGCACAUAAUUGCAAGAAACAGCACUCUCCGAUUUUUACAAAUAUGGUUUCUAGGAAAGUUUGCUGUUCAUUUCAUUACCCAGGCUCUCCAUGGCUCCUUUCCCUGUAACCUCCGCCCUUAAGAGGCCAGAGUUCAUCUUCAAAUGAAAAGCAAGCCAAGGCCACCUCAGUCCCUUCUCCCUGGAGAUUCCCUCUCUAAACAGCUGCCUGUUUUUAAAGGCGAGGGACCGAGUCCUGCAGUUUGUCCUGGAUUGGCGCAAGGAACACGCGGGCUGGAAACUGAGGGCUUUGCUGUGGGGUUUGCGGCAGGGGCAGGAGGAGGGAGCAAAUGUCAUGGCUGGCUCGCUCGAGCAGCCAGGGAACCGGAGCUGAGCGUAUCCUGACGGGCUUUUAAAAUGCCAUUGAUUGGGACAAGCUGUUCCCCACCCUGGUAAGAGUUAAUCUGCCUGUUAAGGCACUAAGGGGCUCAAUACGAGUUUUAUUAGCGAUUGGAGAACAGAGGCGGCAGCGAGGGAUCAAAAGCGGAGAUCCCAGAUACCGGUCAGCCCCGUCACAAAAAAAAAAAAAGUAUUAUCAAUUAGGAAACAAUUCGACGCUUUUCAUCACUUCCUAACUCAGUUUCACAGACAGUGACUUACAAACCUGACUAGCGGGGAAAACCAAAGCCGAGGAGCGACCCGGGGUGAGAGGCGCGGGGGAGGAGCUGCGGGUUGGCUCUACCGAGUUCCGCCCGCGAGAGUUUUAAGAAAACUCAGCCCGGGGCCCUGAAGCCUCAGAUUCAUUCCUCCCGAGAGCAGAGAGGAUGAUGAAUAAAACAAUAAAUAUCGCCACCGAUAUCGACACCCGUCCCUCCGGGCAACUCCCAACUGCUCCGGCAGGGCUCCUGCGCACUGUGGCGUCUGGCCCCCAGCGCGCAGCAGCGGGGCGGGCCGGAAAGUUUGCGCAGCGAGAAGGACUCUCCUUCCGUCUCUCCAGCGCUGCCCCCUUCUGCCCCGGAGGGGCGUUUGAUACCCUUCGGCUUUCCUUUAAAAUCCUGAAAUAAAUAAACGUCCAGACCUUGGGGAAAUUUGAAUAGUAACUGAUUCAAUAAUCCAAAUUAUAUGAGUGGAUCUGAGAGAAAAAAAUAAACAAGCCAACUGCAUGUGCCCUCUGAUCAAAGACAGGGGACGGAGAAGGCGACAGAGGAGGUCCCCGGCUAGCCCUGGGCGCGGGGCGAGGACUCUGGUCAGAGGUAAUUAUGUCAGUGCGUUUUCUCGCCGUGACAGCCGAAUAAACACAAUCUCCAAUAAACAUCUCUAAUGAGGGAGGAGGCCCGAGGAUGGCUGGGUUUGAUUUAUGACUGGAAGAGAAGGUUNNNNNNNNNNNNNNNNNNNNNNNNNNNNNNNNNNNNNNNNNNNNNNNNNNNNNNNNNNNNNNNNNNNNNNNNNNNNNNNNNNNNNNNNNNNNNNNNNNNAUUUAUGACUGGAAGAGAAGGUUCACUUCCCACUGCGAAGCGGGUAACCUGCUCGCCGCCCAGCUCUGGAGAACGGAACCCGCGGAGGAGAGGACCCCAGGCUCAGGUAAGGCGCUCGGCCGCGUGGCCACUUCUCUCCUUCCCGGCUUCCCGGAUAAGGUGGGCAGGGGGCGGCCCUUGCUCAGAGUUGGGCGGUGGUCCUGAGCACCUGUCACAGGUGCCUGAAAUAGAAAUGGCCUCCGAAGGUGCUCCCAGAAAGCCUAGAGAGGGGAUGCCAGGAGCACGAGGGAGUGUGGGGAGAACCCAGGCCUGACCUAGAGCCCCCCCAACCUCUCAGGCGGGUGCUCCAGUGCCUGGCGUAAGACUUUCUGGCAUCUCCGGCUGUGUGGGGCUAGACUCCUGAACCAAGAGGUAGUGUGGGGUCGUCUCUAACCUGACUCACUUUGGAGAAACUUCCGGCGGCCGGCUUGGGUUGUCCUGGGACGUGAGAGUAGCUGGGCGCUGCUCUCCCCGGCACUCAGAGGUCCGACUACCCUGGCGCCCACUAUCUUCCCACACGGGCAGCGAGCACAGCGCCCGCGGUAACCCGAGCCGCGCGUUCUAGCUCAGUGAGAAUCGCUAAUUAUUAGGUCUUCCGAAGUGAAGCUCAAAUCGCACGCUGCGUGCUUUACGCGCUGCCCAGCUCUGUGGGCAGCAUUCUUUCGUCCUCCUCUCCUUUCUGAGAAACGAACUCCUAUCUCUAAGACUUUGUUUCGGCGCAACUACCUACACUUUGCAGCCGCCGGAAACUUUUGCUGCACUUAGCCCGAACCGCGCGGCGGGGCGUUUCUACGCGCUCCAGGCUCGGGUGGGGACCUCUGCACGCGUGAAUGCCGCGAACUGCUAGUCAAGGGAGUUCCAGGUACAAACU